AUUGAACGCUGGCGGCAUGCCUUACACAUGCAAGUCGAACGGUAACGGGCCUUCGGGUGCCGACGAGUGGCGAACGGGUGAGUAAUACAUCGGAACGUGCCCGAUCGUGGGGGAUAACGAGGCGAAAGCUUUGCUAAUACCGCAUACGAUCUACGGAUGAAAGCAGGGGACCGCAAGGCCUUGCGCGGACGGAGCGGCCGAUGGCAGAUUAGGUAGUUGGUGGGAUAAAAGCUUACCAAGCCGACGAUCUGUAGCUGGUCUGAGAGGAUGAUCAGCCACAAUGGGAAUGGGAAAAGGGCCCGACUCCUAAGGGAAGCAGCAGUGGGGGAUUUUGGGAAAUGGGCGGAAACCUGAUCCAGCCAAGGCGGGUGGAAGAUGAAGGCCUUCGGGUUGGAAACUGCUUUUGUAAGGAAAGAAAAGCCUUCUUUUAAAAAAGGGGGGUCAAGAAGGUAACGUAAGAAUAAGCAACGGCUAAAUAAGGG
Molecule: ribosomal RNA, 482 nt
Filed under: uncultured bacterium
Lineage: Bacteria
Description: partial 16S ribosomal RNA
Rfam family: Bacterial small subunit ribosomal RNA
Source: RNAcentral